UCUUACCCAGUUUUACGAAAAUAGAAGAAGUAAAGGUUUUUUGAGACAUCUUUCGCUAACGAGAAGCGCAUCUAACAUUAUCUCCUGUGAAUCUCCAGUAGGAUGUUAAUUUCAAAUACACAUAUGUCCCUACACUAAAGUAUUAAAAGAAUGUGUUAUAUCCCAAUUGUAAGAAUUAGUUUCCUCAACAAUCAAAUGUAUGCAAUCCUAAAUAACUACACGUACACGUUAUUUCAUUUACUGUCCCAGAGACACCAUUAAUCACUUCUUAGGGUGAAAUGUCAUUCCAGG
RNAcentral lists this long non-coding RNA (291 nucleotides) under Mytilus galloprovincialis (Mediterranean mussel). Lineage: Eukaryota; Metazoa; Mollusca; Bivalvia; Mytilida; Mytilidae. The record is from RNAcentral.